Molecule: long non-coding RNA, 386 nt
Organism: Silurus meridionalis
Lineage: Eukaryota; Metazoa; Chordata; Actinopteri; Siluriformes; Siluridae
Exons: 3
Source: RefSeq, a predicted model, not a curated record
AGCACAGUCAUUUCAAAGUGCCACACUUCCUGCUGCCAGUAGGACCGUAAAUGUAUAUUGUCAUAAAUAUUGUAGCCAGGACUAUUAUCAAACGUGAAGUUUGGAGCUGAUCGGUCAGUGUAUGCCUGAGUUCCAAACAUUGUAUGUCUGAGUUACAGCAACUUCCUUUUUAAUGGUGAUACAGCAAAAUUUGUCAGGCCGCCACGGACACACCCUUCAACGAAAAUUUAACAUUGCAAAGGCCUUUAGAUUAUGCAUACCAAAUUUGGUGUUGAAUAGAAUAGCCUUUAUUUGUCACAUAUACAUUACAGCACAGUGAAAUUUGUUCUUCGCAUAUCCCAGUUUUUGCUUGGAAACUGGGGUCAGAGCGCAUGGUCAGCCAUGAU